RNAcentral lists this ribosomal RNA (253 nucleotides) under uncultured bacterium. RNAcentral describes it as "partial 16S ribosomal RNA". It matches the Rfam family "Bacterial small subunit ribosomal RNA", at positions 524 to 776 of the family's 1533-position model. The record is from RNAcentral.
GACAGAGGGGGCAAGCGUUGCUCGGAAUUACUGGGCGUAAAGGGCGCGUAGGCGGGAUGGCAAGUCAGUCGUGAAAUCUCUCGGCUCAACCGAGAAACGUCGGCUGAUACUGCCGUUCUUGAGGGAUGCAGAGGAGACUGGAAUUCCCGGUGUAGCGGUGAAAUGUGUAGAGAUCGGGAAGAACACCAGUGGCGAAGGCGACGUGCUGGGUUGCACCUGACGCUGAGAUGCGAAAGUGUGGGGAGCAAACGGG